Molecule: ribosomal RNA, 409 nt
Filed under: Bacillota bacterium
Lineage: Bacteria; Bacillati; Bacillota
Also listed under: 1 other name
Description: Firmicutes bacterium partial 16S ribosomal RNA
Rfam family: Bacterial small subunit ribosomal RNA
Source: RNAcentral
UGGGGAAUAUUGCACAAUGGGCGAAAGCCUGAUGCAGCAACGCCGCGUGAGGGAUGACGGCCUUCGGGUUGUAAACCUCUUUUAGCAGGGAAGAAGCGAGAGUGACGGUACCUGCAGAAAAAGCGCCGGCUAACUACGUGCCAGCAGCCGCGGUAAUACGUAGGGCGCAAGCGUUAUCCGGAAUUAUUGGGCGUAAAGAGCUCGUAGGCGGUUUGUCGCGUCUGCUGUGAAAUCCCGAGGCUCAACCUCGGGCCUGCAGUGGGUACGGGCAGACUAGAGUGCGGUAGGGGAGAUUGGAAUUCCUGGUGUAGCGGUGGAAUGCGCAGAUAUCAGGAGGAACACCGAUGGCGAAGGCAGAUCUCUGGGCCGUAACUGACGCUGAGGAGCGAAAGGGUGGGGAGCAAACAGG